RNAcentral lists this long non-coding RNA (3317 nucleotides) under Mus musculus (house mouse). RNAcentral's name for it is "long non-coding RNA chr17:75267734-75271051". The record is from RNAcentral. Lineage: Eukaryota; Metazoa; Chordata; Mammalia; Rodentia; Muridae.
UGUGUGUGUGUGUGUGUGUGUGUGUGUGCGCGCGCGCUCUCGCACAAUGCACGUGUGUGUUUGCUGUGCAUACGUGGUGUGUGCUGUGUGUAUUGCUGUGUGCUACAUGCAUGUUUGCAUUGCCUGCGUGUGUGUAUAGUAUGUAUAUAUGCGUGGUGUAUGUGUUUAGACAAGAGAACAACCUCAAGUAUCAUAUCUCAGGUACCAUUUAUCUUGCUUUUUUGGGGGGGACAAGGACUUUCACUGGCCUGGAACUUAACAACUACGCUAGAUUGAUUGGCCAGGAAGUCCUAGGGACACACCUAUCUCUGCCUCUUCAGCACUGGGAUUGUUAACAGUGGCCACACACCUAGCUUUUUUUAUAUGGACUCUAGGGAUCAGUUCCCAUUAUUGCAGAGUGAGCAUGUUACCAAAUAAGCUCUCUUCCCUAGCCUUAAAUUCAGACUAAAAAAAUAUCAGUCUAUAUUCUAAUGUAUACGGGUGUUUUGUCUCCAUGCAUAUCCUUGCACCACAUGCAUGCCUGGUGCCCACAGAAGCUAGAAGAUGACACUGGACCUCCUGGAACUGGAGUUACAGAUAAUUGUGAGCUUCCAUGUGGGUGCUGGAAAUAGAACCUGGGUCCACUGGAAGACCGGCCAGUGCUCUUAAACCCCUGAACCAUCUCUCCAGGUCUCCAAAUGCAGAAUUUUAAAAGAUGACCACAUUUUAUGGUAACCCUGAUCAUCAUUAGGAAAAUAGGUAAACACUGCACAUUUGAAAAAGUAUAUGGUCAUCCGAAGCUUAAAGACUUCACAGUAGUUUGAGGUGCCUUUAAGAGCAAUUCUGCCCGUUUCUGUCCAGCUAGGCUUUUUGAAUUUAUUCUGAUGUGGGCUUGGUGCUUAUGAAGCUGCCUCAUAUUUGAUCAAGCGAAAACAGUCUUCAUGAGGACUUGGCCCUUCAGCUCCAGCCCAGCUGACUGUCCUCUAAGCUCUGCUGUACAGAGAGAGGAAAUGAAAUCAUGCCAAGCUGACAGUUCUGUUUGCUGGAUGUAAGCCUUUUGAAAUGUUGUUACUAAUUAGUGCUGUUUUCCUUUUAAAACUGACAAAUGCAGAUUAGGAAAUUGUGCACGUAAGUCUUUUUUUUUCCCUCUCUUGCUUUCUCUCUCUCUCUCUCUCUCUCUCUCUCUCUCUUCCUCUCUGUGUGUUCUUUUAUGAUUGGUUCUGAUCUGAAGCAGACGGACACCUAGCCAGAAGGCAUUUUGGAGUUUGUUAAAUUAGACUGUAAAGUUCUCAUACAGAGCACAUUUGAAAACUGAUGUCAGGAUUUGGAAUGUUAGGGAACAAACAAAGCUGUCGGGAAUAUCCAGAUAAUUUAGAGGUAUCUUUCGGGCACUUUGAACUACAUAAGAGAAUAUUUAGACAGGUUCUAAUUUAAGCAGCAUUUAUUGUUAAAAAAAUUUGAUGCAGUGUUAGUUGUAAAUUCAUUUUUAUCUUACCCAGUCUGGUUAGAGUUCUCACAACCUAAUCUGGUUGCAGAUUAGGUUAACUUGGAGAACCGGCCGUAGACUUGUGAGUUUGACAAGAUCUCAUGUCUAGCAUGAUGAAGGGCAGGCAUCCAGGCUUUAAUGAAAUUGUAGAAACCUGCCAAUGUGACUCUUGAAAUACUUGCAUAGCUCUUCAGAGUGUAUUUUUCUUGCCAUUGCCCAAAUAAUUCUGAACUUAUUAAACAACCAUCCAUUCUUAUUUGAAAAAUAAAUAAUUCAAUUUUACGGGUCAGCUGCAAACAGCUGAAAUGAUAAGUAUUAAGUGAUAUUUGUUGCUAGUUAAGUGUUCCAGUUUAGAACUCAGAGUUAAAAUUGGGCCCUUUACCAGCAUGGAGACCACAGAUGUAUGUCUGUCUUUCUUUCUUUCUUUCUUUCUUUCUUUCUUUCUUUCUUUCUUUCUUUCUUUCUUUCUUUCUUUCUUUCUUCCUUUCUUUUUUUCAUCUGUGAAUUUACCACAUAUGCUAUCAUGAAUGUGUGUCCAAUUCCUUCAGAGUUUGUGAUUUGUACCUAUUUGUCCAGAUUUGUUUAUGAACUCUAUAAAGAAACUGACGAGGAAUCUAAAGCCAGUUGGAAAGAAUCAGGGGAGAAUGUGAUGUUCUCAAUAAGUGGGGACAACUAGUGUAUCCUUCAUAGUCAUGACAGAGUAGCAAAGGAAUUGGGAAAGGAGCGAGUAUGCUUGUGUGUGUGCGCGCACACAUACACACAGAGCUUGAAUGUGUAAGCAUGCCGUAGAGACUGAUAGCAUUUGCUUAAGCAGCAUGAAAUUAGGGUACAUCCUGGUCAUAAAAUGUGUGGCUGACUCUGAACUCUUAAGAAGUGUACUUGGCAGUCACUAGGAUCUCUGGGAAGUUCUUGGUGUUCCUGAAUGCUGUGAGGUGAACACCCUUGGCGUUCUUUGACUCCAGCUGAAGGGUGCAACCAUUUGCCAUUCUUGCCUUGCCCACGCUCUGCCCUUGACCUUGUGAGGUCAAACAGAAGAGAAGAGGAGGUGGCUGACAGUUGCUGCCUCUUCUCACCUGUGUUUAGGGAGCUGGACCAGUGUCCUCCAAGCCUGCCCCUGCCUAUCUUGUGGGACAAAGUGAAAAGCUUGGGUUUAUCACAGUCGUGUGGAGAAAAGUAGAUUCAAUUGGGGGAAGACUUUCUGCCUUCUGAACUGCACUUGUUCUUCUGCAGGCAUUUAUGCAUCUUCUGAUGUCUGCAGCUGAGGUUCAGGAAAGGGCCCCAGAUGAAAGCAAUCUGUCUUGGGGCUUUUAAUGUUUUAUGUGUUCUCUACCCUUGAACUUGGAGUUAAAGGAGGCCAGGGAGGAGAUCUGCUCAGGAACUUCUACCAUCACCCUAGAGGUCAUGAGACAAAGAAGGGCGAGUCCUUUCUAACGUGCCAGUCUUGUUUAGGAUUUUUAUUUAGUUUCCCCACCCACUUUACCAAGAUUGUAAUUAUUGCUCAUGUCUCACAUGUUGGAAAUUAAGGCAAAGAGAGUUCUAGAAACCUCACCAGAUCACCUAAGUAGUAAUCAACAGUUGAGAUUUAAAACUAGGAUUUGGGCAUCCAAGGUUCUGGGUUCUAGGUCAGCAGUUGGGAAAAUCGCAGUCUAUGAAUGGAACCAGCCUAUUGUCUGGUUUUGUAAAUAAUGUUUUAUUGGUACAUAGCCAUAUCCACAUACAUGUUGUCUAAGGCUGCUUUUGUGAUAAUCAUGGCACAGAUAGUGAGUUGGAACAGAGACUGUUGGGCUAAUAAUCCUUAAAAUAUGUAUAAUCUGGCCCAGAUUAUAUGAAGGAAUUGGACACACACAUAUAC